Gorilla gorilla gorilla (western lowland gorilla) is the source of this 2819-nucleotide long non-coding RNA. RefSeq lists it as uncharacterized. The record is from RefSeq and is a predicted model, not a curated record. NCBI's taxonomy places the organism in Eukaryota, Metazoa, Chordata, Mammalia, Primates, Hominidae. The transcript is spliced from 2 exons.
CGAGAGUGUGUUUCGUGUUUUCAGCAGCUGCCAAGCUGUUCUCCGCAGGGCCUGCGGGUUCCGCUUCCCACAGGAAUGAACCUGCGCUCCCGGCGUUUCCCGAAUGUGUUGUCAGUGCUUGGGAUUCUGGCCCUUCUAUGGGGUACGCGUGGUGCCACGCAGUUUUCCUUGCAUUUCCCUGAUCAUGUAGACGGUUCUUCAGAUUCCUCCCUGGGGAAGGCGUGAAGCAGCCCCACCUGCCUGAGUGGCUGGGUUGGGGGCUCAGAGGCACGGUUACCGCAGCAGCAGCGCAAACCUCACACUCUUCCCUGGAGGAGACAGCCCUGCGCUGGGAAAUGGCCAACCUCUUCCCCACCCCCUGCAGCCCCACUGUCCGGCAGCUUCCCGCUACACCUCCACAUGAAAAUCCAAGGACUUCCUCGGCCUGCUCUGUCCCCAGCUACCAUCCAUCUUUUCUGUUUCGCUACACAGAAAAGCAAACAAAACGAUAGAAACUUAGCAAAAAGCCUUGCCCCAUUUCCUUCUCUCCCUUCCCCCCGUGUCCUGACUUGGUUUCUCCAUGAUCUCCAAGCAGCCCGUGCUCGCUGAGUCUCCCCAACCCCGGUGUGCUGUCCGUAUCCCCGGCCAACCUGUGGGACACUCAAGGCUGGCAUUGGCCCAUGACCUGACACAGCCUUUGCUCUGUGCCACCACAGCAGCUACGCCAGCCUGUCCCGAGACACCACCCCCCCACCCCAAACCGAGCAGCCCCAGGCCUGCAGUCAUUGCUGACCCCUUCCUUUUCUCUGCAUCACCACCCAAAUACAUCAGCAACUUAUUGUGGCUUUCUCUGAAUUAGUCUCCUGUGGCUGCCGUGGAAAUUAUCACGAGGUGGUGUCUUCAAACAAUAGAAAUGUACUCAGUUCCAGAGUCCAUAACAGCCACGCUCCCUCUGCAGGCUCCGGAGGAGAAGCACAGUCCAUUCCGUGCUGCUGCCACAGAACACCACUUAUGAAGAACAAAUUGAUUUCGGCACAGUUCUGGGAGCUGGGACAUUCAGGGUCACCACGUUGCCACCUGUGAAGGCCUUCUGCUGCGUCCUCAUGUUGGGGAAGAUCAGAAGCUCUGGGGGUUAGGAUGUGGCUUAUCUUCUGGGGCCACCACUGAGUCCACUGCUGCUACAGAGAGCAUCUCAAGUCUGUCCACUUCUCCACCCUGACCGCCCCCACCACAGUUCUCCUCUCCUGCAACUCCUGGCGCUGGCCUCUCCUGCGUCUGUUUCUGCACAGCCUGAGCGAUUUUCAAAAACAACACCUCAGACCCAUGCUCCUGCCCACAGCCGCCAGCGCCUUCUGUCUCCAUGCAAAGCUGGACCCUGCUGGCGCCUGCAUCCCCAUGGUGUCACUGCCUUGGGGGCUCACAGGGACCCACACUGGCAUGUUCAUGGUGCGCCCGCUGCCAAGGCCGCCUCACGCCAGCACUCCUUCGUCUCCUUACACACCACAGCCUGGAAGGGUCCUCCCUCUCUGCAUCCGCCCAUGUCUCCCCUUGUGAAAUUAAAGCACAGAAUUUCUCGUUUUGAGGAAAACCUUUAUCCUAUUUUAAAACAAUCUCAUCAUCCCUGCCCUAGUUCUCUCUUCCACUCACAGUAGCGUUCCACGUUCCCUGUCUCUGGGCAUCCUACAACCCUUAGGGCUGUCUCCUAUCCCGCUCCCCGGUGGAGCAGGCAAAACUGAUUUUUUUCUGGUUAAAAUCUCCAAAGUUGUUAAAAACAAAACAAAACUAAGCAAAGAAUCUUAGAAGUGUCACCUUUAGAAGUAAGAGAGGACUUGUUAUGGUUUCUACUUAGGGAUCAACUGUUACCUCGUUAAAGGACGAAAGGUUGAGUUUUUUGGCGAUGAACUUCUUCAGAUGCAAGACGGUCGCCUGGGCUGAGCAGCGGAUCCACUUCCGCUUCAGCCCCCGCAGUUUGCUGCUGUUACACUCCAGGCAGAUGCUCACCUGCGGGAAAGGACGCUGGUGAGAGCGCAGCAGGAGGGUUCCCCCGGACGGUUCUGGAGGCUUCCUUAGACAUAUUUCACUAAUUCCUCAAUCUAGGACUGCUGACCUUUUUGAGAUCACACAUCUGCUUUGACUUCAACACUGCAGAAAAAGAAUCUUACAUACCUUAUCUGAAAACCUGUUUAUCGUCUGCUUGCCAUUUUGUGAACUAUAACCUCGCCCUGUUAAUUCUGUGUGUUAUUAACAUAAUAGUUGAGAGUUAAUCCCAGAGUGAUUUAUCCAUCGCAGGCACUGGGUUCUUGGUCUCCAGCUAAGCCUGUCCGGACAAACAUGGCGCAAAGGGGAGUGGGCGGCCCCGUGUCUGCGAAUGCACUCGGGGAGACAGCAGCGACUGCAGGAAGACAGCAGGGAGAAGCCUUGAGCAGGGCCACAGGCGGAAGGUCACAGCUGCCUUCCAGGUGACCAGCAGUUUGGCGGGGGACCCGCAGGAUAAAAAGUGACUGAAGGGGACUGUGGAGUCCCAGCAGCCACGGGCUCCCUGCCGGUGCGAAAAGGAAUCUGCCCAGGACGAGGCUUCACCCAAGGGCCCGGCCGGCUUGGCCCCCAAGAUGUGCCUGACAAGGAAGGGCGACGCUCACGGCAAACGCUUCUACAGGUGGAGCCGCAACAAACGGCACAGUUAGGGCCUAAAAAUGCAGUGGAAGGAUGGACAGGGGGUUAACUGAAAUAUGUAUGUCUAAAAUUACAAAAGAUACAAAAGGGAGGACACGAGGGGUACAGACGGGCAAGUAUUGAAGGUAAUCAGAUACAAUUUCUAAAAAUAAAAACACUCACGGAAA